GGAGAGGGGCAGGGCAGGGAGAGGGACGGGGGGAGAGGUGGAUAGGAAGGUAGAUAGCGGAGCGGAGGCGGGGGCUGCGCGUGACGUACCGAGGCGGUGUGUGCGGAGGCGCGCGCGGCACGUGGGCACGACGGAGGAGGUGCGUGGCGAGGUAUUGAUAGAGGCGGAGGCGCUGGAGGGGCGGGAACGGAACGGCACGAGAGGUUGCUGGUGGUAUAUAUGACACGAAUGUGGAUGACGAUGUGUGUGUAUCGAUCGAGUGGAGGCAGGACGAGACGGCCGGGUUAGGGCCCUGCUGUGUCGUUCGGUGGCCAGGAAGAAAGCCCCAUAUAUAUAUCGAACCGUAACCUCCACCACCUCGCACUACUUAUUGGUCACGCACGGCUCGACCCUAGACCUGCUCUGCCAAUCGCGCCCCGAGUUGGGCCACAGGCGGCCCAGCUGCGUCGCGUACCGCGGGCCUCUGUCGCCAGACUGCCCCGGCCAACGGUACGGGUACGGCCUGGUCAUGCUGCUCCACCGCCUCGACUGCACCCUCUUCCCGUUGUAGAAGACCGUCCCCGACGAGUUGGCCAGCCACGGGUUCAUGGGCCGGCGCGGCGGCGGCCGCGUCUACGUGCGGUAGCCGCCGCGCCCUCUAGUGGCCCUCUGCGAGCUCCGUCACCACCCGCUCCGCCGGCGAGCAAACAGCAGAGUCAGCUGCAGCGUGGAGCCCGUCGGCAACGGACGUCGGCGGCGCGGAACCGAGCCACACCCGCGCGGCCGGCUGCCCGAGCACGGCACGCGCUCCCAACUGCUCGGCCGCCUCCCCCUGCACGCCUCCUUCGCCCGUGCUCACCAGCCGCUCCUGCCCGCCCACACGCGGUCGGUUCCCUCGCAGCGCGGGCCGGCGCCGCUCUCGAGCGACGAGUGAGACCUCGGGACGCCGUGGCCGCGACUGCUGAACACGCCCAAGUGCUGCUGGUUGUUGAGGUGCAGCGACCUGGUGCCGAGGGGCCUCUGCCUCUUGUGCUCGAAGCCCCCUCCGCGGUCGCUGAGGGCGACGAAGUCGGCAGCCAGCGUCUCUCUACCCGACACACUGCUUCGUCUCUUGCAGCACUAGUUCCCGCUUCGAGGUUACUCCAGCAGGUAAAGAUGGUUCUCCUCGGCCCGACGACGGUAGGUAUUGCUUAGACUCGCAUUUUCUUCCCUGUCCUAGUUGGUCUUCUACGUCUGUAACGUUUUCGAGCAGGGGUUGAGUUCGUUCUGCCUGUUCCGUAGCUACGACCUGCUCCACUAGCUGGUGGACUUCCUCGACGUCCGCUGCCACGUCUACUACUUGGCCUACUCGUCGUACUACUACGGGUACCGGUACGGAGUCGACCGGGUCUACAGGCAGUACCGGUUGUACCGGGUCUACCGGGUCUACCGCGUCUACCCGGACCCUUACUAGUUGUACCGGCCCGGUGAGCGCGUCGGGCGGAUGGGCCCGGAGUGGGUCGGGUACUACGUGUGCAGGUGGGGCAAGCAGUGGUACGUCGGGACCUUGCGGCCGCGGCCGCGGCUGGCCGUCUUCGUCGGGCGGCGGCGGCGGCACGGCCUGCGGAUGAGGCGGAAGGAGCGGACGGUUCGCCGCGUCGUCUUGCGCGUCGUCGUUCGAGUUGGCUUGCCGUACCUCCGCAUGUCGUCCUACUACCGGUACACGGUCUUCGAUUCGGUCGUCGUCUGGUUCGGUCCGUCGAGGUUUCUCACUAGCAUGAUGCAGCAUGUUCGUGGACGUGUCGUAAAGGGAAACCUGUACUUUCAGACAGCUGCGCGGUGCCGUGGGACGUCGUAGCACAUACAAUGCGAGUUAACGUGUACUAAACAGCAUGAUUUUAGUAAGAUCGAACAUGCAUAUAGCAAAACUGUUGUAAAACGAAUCGAACAUGCAUAUUCAGUGGCGGUUGGCCAAUGGACUUCUUCUACACAAACAUGAUGUCAUAGUGGGUUAACGUGUACUAAACCUUUAACCUGGCCUCUCCAAUUGGAGUAGGCCGAAA
This 2021-nucleotide ribosomal RNA is filed under the name Triticum aestivum (bread wheat). RNAcentral's name for it is "partial small subunit ribosomal RNA". The record is from RNAcentral. Lineage: Eukaryota; Viridiplantae; Streptophyta; Magnoliopsida; Poales; Poaceae.